UACGUAGGUGGCGAGCGUUAUCCGGAAUGAUUGGGCGUAAAGGGUGCGUAGGCGGCCUGCUAAGUCUGGAGUGAAAGGUACCGGCUCAACCGGUACAGGCUCUGGAAACUGGCGGGCUAGAGAGCAGGAGAGGGCGGUGGAACUCCAUGUGUAGCGGUGAAAUGCGUAGAUAUUAGGAGGAACACCAGUUGCGAAGGCGGCUCUCUGGACUGUAACUGACACUGAGGCACGAAAGCGUGGGGAGCAAACAGG
This 252-nucleotide ribosomal RNA is filed under the name uncultured bacterium. RNAcentral's name for it is "partial 16S ribosomal RNA". It matches the Rfam family "Bacterial small subunit ribosomal RNA", at positions 524 to 776 of the family's 1533-position model. The record is from RNAcentral.